UCCCCCAAGAGUUCACAUCGACGGGGAGGUUUGGCACCUCGAUGUCGGCUCAUCGCAUCCUGGGGCUGUAGUCGGUCCCAAGGGUUGGGCUGUUCGCCCAUUAAAGCGGUACGCGAGCUGGGUUCAGAACGUCGUGAGACAGUUCGGUCCCUAUCCGUCGUGGGCGUAGGAAAUUUGAGAGGAGCUGUCCUUAGUACGAGAGGACCGGGAUGGACAUACCUCUGGUGUACCAGUUGUCGUGCCAACGGCAUAGCUGGGUAGCUAUGUGUGGACGGGAUAAGUGCUGAAAGCAUCUAAGCAUGAAGCCCCCCUCAAGAUGAGAUUUCCCAACUUCGGUUAUAAGAUCCCUCAAAGAUGAUGAGGUUAAUAGGUUCGAGGUGGAAGCAUGGUGACAUGUGGAGCUGACGAAUACUAAUCGAUCGAAGACUUAAUCAA
RNAcentral lists this ribosomal RNA (435 nucleotides) under Staphylococcus aureus. RNAcentral describes it as "partial 23S ribosomal RNA". It matches the Rfam family "Bacterial large subunit ribosomal RNA", at positions 2488 to 2925 of the family's 2925-position model. The record is from RNAcentral. Lineage: Bacteria; Bacillati; Bacillota; Bacilli; Caryophanales; Staphylococcaceae.